GCAACAGGCGGAGGAAAAAAAAGUAGCCAUCAAACCCAUCGAUUCCUCAUUCUCUCGGCUGCCUCGUCGACUCCGACGGUGCCACCGUUCCCCUUUCGUCUCCACCUCGCGCGCGCAGCUCACGACGCUCGCCCUUGUCGCUUCCUGGCGAGGCCAUCCGCGGCCGCUGUUGCUUCUUCCUGGACGCCGCCACCAUCUCCCCACCCCCACGCGGCACCCCGUCUCGCCCUCUCUAGGGUUUUCUCGGAUCAAGAAUCGCUGUAAGCCACAUUUCCCCACCCGUGCUACUCCCGAAUCCGCAAUCCCCAUCCGAAGAUCCUUGCGACCUCCGCCCCAAGAGUCCUCGCCGCCGGCCAGCGCUACCAUCUUCUCGCAGUGCAAGCAGCCAUCGCCUUGUCGCCUUACUUGCCGGCGACCCAGCGCCGCUUCGUCGUCGUCGAGCUAGCGGCGCCGCAGCUCUCCCCUGGAGCCAUUGUCCUGCACCACCUCCCCGCGGACACGGUGCCGGCUGCAGCCGUAGUCUUCUCGUGGAUCCACCGGCCAACACCGCCACCAACCAUCUCGUCCACGGCCAUCUCCUCGCUUCUCAUGGCUGCUGCUCGUCGGCUCCUCCACACCUCUCCAGUUGGUACUGCCAUGCUCUGUGCGUAGGAUACACACUGGUCUGGGAUAUCAAUAAUGUUCCUCUUCCAUUGUUACAGGUUUCAUGGCUUUGCAGAUGCUUUUGUAGCUUUCAUGUGAUGACGAGGGCCUUCAUUUGUGCGAAUAUACACGAGUUGCUGGCAUUUCUUCAUUUUGCAUAGUACAAACUCUGCUGGUAUGUGCAAAUGAGGCCAUAUGGAUGGUUCAUCACCAUGAGGCUUCAAUCCAUAGUAACCGGCAAGGUUGCGCGGUUGCACUAAACAAUAGGACUGCAUUUCUGCUCUCUCAUCUGUUUGUGUUGUUUGUUCAUCUCUCUUGAACAGGUCACAAAUUUAUAAUAACAGGAUUGAUGUGCAAAUCUGAUUAGAAAAGGGAGUAAACUACAGACAGAUCAUGACUCUUUUCACUUUUUACUGAUGACAUGCUUCCUCAGUUAAUGAUGCUUUUAUUGAUCCGCUGCUUCUUCCACUCCAUGCGGUACACCUGUGAAAUGUGCCUGCUUUGACUAUUUUGUAUACAACAAUACAAGUACCCACCUCUUUCCUCUUGACAAGUGCCCACCUCUCCAUCAACCCCUUUCCUUCUCUCUAGGACCUACCGGACUCUGACGCGCACGCUACCCCAGGCACACGUCCCAUCGCUGCAGCCCGCGUCCAGACGAGAGCUGUAUGGCUCGGCCGACGCCGACGCCGACGCUCGCCCGACCCACACCGCGCGAUUCGAUUCGCACGCCCACGCCCACGCACUUCCCGCCGCUCGCGGGUAGACAACCAGUAUCCCCUACCGCUCUCUACUCUCUAGUCUCUCCUUUAAACUUCCUGGUGCUGCGGCGCCUUCUGUUUAUGCGGACACGGCCAAAGGCAGGGCGGUGUGUCCAGAGCAAAGGGCCGCACGGUGGGUGGCAGGUUGGCAGGCGCCGCUGGGCACAGAAUGCAGCACAAAGGCUUUAUUAACGGUGUGGGGACUGGGGAUUGGCUGAGGACGGCGAGGGGAGCGGGAGUGGCGCAGCGACGCGGCGGAGUGGCAGGGCCCGUGGUCAGAUGACAUCACCGCGCGCGCGAUGGGUCACGUGAGGGCGGUGUAGUUGGCCUGUGGGUUAUGGCCUGGAUCAGUCUGUACCAGCGGCGCCGGGCACGUUGGGUGACGGCCGAAACUGUACGGAUAGCGCAAAAUGUGGGGAUCCGGACGGCAUCGUCCUUGACGGCACCUCAUCCUUGGUGGGUUCCAAAAUCCACCGGGUGUAUAAUAUUAAAUCUUUAGUUUUCCUCGGCCACUAUCGACAGUAAAUCGGUCCCUGAGAGGCCUCCGAUCUGCUACAGUAUAACAGUGCCCUUUCCCCACAUCAGCUGUCCGAUCCGGCAGUCACGGCACAUCACAACCGUCCACCUCCCCAUCACCUCCCCCAAUUCCCAGUCGGUCGUGCCCUAAUCCCUCAUUUCCUCUCCCCUUCCUACGCGCCGCCGCCGCCGCCACCGCGACUCCUCGCAUUCGUCCCCACCACAUCCGAGCCAGCGGCCGCCCGCCCGCCGUCGCUACCUCCUCCUCGAGCCAGCGGCCGGCACCACCACCUUCCCACGGAGCCAGCGACCGGCGCUAUGUUCUCACGGAGCCGGGCGCGGUGCCAUCUUCUCGCGGAGUCACUGGCCCGCACCGCCGCUACCUUCUUCUCCUCAUAGAGCCAGGGAUGUCGACACCAUCGCCGUCUGUGUCCGCUUCUUCGCACAGCUACGCCAGCUUGCGGCCACUACUACACCAGGAUUUGGGUGUGGGUGGAGCAAGUGUGCCAGCCACUGCACCGCCGUCCACUCCCAUGAGAAAGUCAGCUCCAUCAAGAUGAACGAACAUCCAGCCACUUGCGCGCUCCUCCAUUUGCUGCCGUAUGAGGAUGAGGCAGGCAGCUCCAGUUAGGUCACUACUCUGCUGAAAAAAGAAAACUGAGUCCUGGUACCGAAUCUAGCAUUUGCUUCUUUUCCUUUCAGAUCUGGAUUUUAAUUCACUGGUCUGCCUUUUGUUAUUUUUAAUUAUUUUGUUCUAUUGAUUAGUCUCAUCAAUCUUUACUCUACAAAUGAUGAUUUACAUGGUCAUUAUUCCAUCCAGAAGAAAUGCACAGACUGUUUUACAAGGCAAACAUAUUGAAGGGUUGUUCUAUCUCGACCAAAGUUUCUCAGAUUAUUUUGCCUGCUGCUGCAUUGUAAUACUCAUAAGCUAUAUUACCAUCAUCGAAUCCUCAUCCGGAUACGCAGCUGUGUUUUUGUUGUAUAGUGUCCAAUGAAUCUCUGAGCAACCCUGUUAUACUGGAAUAAAAUUAAGGUACACAACUUUGUUAUUGUUUCGUUAAAUACUUGCAGAUUUCAGAGUUCAUCACAAGCUUUCAUUUCUUUACUAUAUAUAAUCUUGCAGUUGCAGACAGGACACAUGACUUUGAUCAUGGUUUAGCAUCAGCUGUCUGGGAAUCUUUGAAAUUCCUAAAGCUAAAUAUAUAGGACACUCGUGUCCUAUAUAUGCUAGCAGUUGAAAUGCUUCACAAACAUAGUCUACAAGUAUCUGUUGUUGAUUAGCGCAGUGAAUAUUGUCGUAGCCACAAAACUGCACAACGAUUUUACUUGGUUUUAGUUUUCUUAUUGCUUUUGCUUAUAUAAGAGUUACGCCAUAUUACAAAUAGUAACUGUUAGCUUUAAAUCUUUUUGUUUACCUAAUGAUUCAACUGGAGGAAAAGUUCAAGCUAGCUACUGCAGAUAAUCAGUUUUGCUUUAAUUACCUUGAUCAGUCUGUAAGUGAUAAUCAGUUUUGCUUUGGUUAUGUUUAAUGCCUUCAUUAUUAACUUUGGUUGGAAGUUCAAGCGUCAGUUAAAGUUUCAUCUGUUGGUUUAUUCACAUUAUCAUGCCAUAUAAUCCUGUGACAAGGCUUACAUUUCUGAAGCUUUGUCCUAACAUAUCUGCAAUUCUGUAUGGGUGCCGUGUUGUUCAAGAGAUGCGUUCUUUUCUACCUUAGUACCAACAGACUUCCGCUUCAUGGUUCACUUCACAAAUCUUUCUCCACAUGUUGUUUAUUUAUCUUAAACGAGCAGGAUGGAAUGCUUCAUAGGCUGCUUCAAGGAAUGGGACGUAAAAAAUGUGACCAGCAAUCCUAUAGUUCUGGUUCUACAUAUAUGUGAUCACUGUAAAUACACAGCUAACUUGCUUCAUGUUGCUCACUGAUAUUUGUUUUUCUGGUCACUUAUGGAUGCUUAUAUUAUUUGUUUCUCACUGGUAUAUCUUUCAGGAUAGUUCAUUUUAUAAUAAUUUGUCAUUCAAAUUUUAUUUCAUACAGAUAGGCAAGCCCUCUAUUUUCCAGAUUGAUAGGGGGGGGGGGAACAUCGAAAAGAUAUGCACCUCUUCCUUCUUUGUACAGCUGAAGUGGUGCCUUAUGACAGCUCAUAAGAAUUUGACAUUGGCAUUGUGCCAGGCUCUGUUGCUGCUAUCCAACCUCCACAUAAACAUUGUGCCUUAUUUUGGUGAUAUGGGUGCUUUAGGUAUAGACCUCUGUCGUCGCUCGCGCCUGCGCUGGCCUCACGGUGACGGCCUCCAUGCCUCCGGCCUCGCUGACGGCCGCGACGUGCAGCCGCCGUGCUGGCCUCACGCCGUCCUCCUCCUCCGCCACCGGCCACGGGAGCGCCUCCACCAUGCCGCCGUCGGAGUCGCCCACUCGCCGUGGGCUUCGUCGCCGCCCGCACCCGAUCUGGCCACGGGAGGGCCAGAUCUGCCGCACACCACUCCGGCCGCCUGCUCCCGCGUCCGACGCGCGCCGCUCGGCCUCCUCCGCGCCCCGUCGCGCCGCCACGAACGGCUGUGACCGCCGUCCGGCCGCGCCAACCUGUGCCCCGCCGUGCCAGCCACGGUCCCCGCCAGAUCCGGCGUGAGAGCGACGGACCCCGACGCCCCUGAUGAUGUAUUCAAUCUAUUGACGGUUCCAUUCUCGACGAAACAAGUAACCAAAUAGUACUCAUAUUACUCUUCUUCCAAUUUGUUUUACAUUCCGAAAACUAGUAAUUAAUCGGGAUGAAAUCAAACAAUGGCUUGGAUUUGGAAUCAACUUCUUGAGGGCGUCAUCCGAUAAGACUGGCCUUGCCUUCAUACUUGUAGGUGUCUUUUUAAUAAUGGAAAAUUUUUCCGUUUUGGCACCUGCUGAAACAUUA
Non-coding RNA from Oryza sativa Japonica Group (Japanese rice), 4816 nucleotides. Lineage: Eukaryota; Viridiplantae; Streptophyta; Magnoliopsida; Poales; Poaceae. The record is from RefSeq and is a predicted model, not a curated record.